UUUUAACGGCCGCGGUACUCUGACCGUGNNCNGNUANNAUAAUCUUUUGCCUUAUAAUUGAAGGCUAGUANGAAUGGNUUGACAAGAAUAUANCUGUCUCUUUACAAUUUUGUANAAUUUUAUUUUUAGGUGAAAAAGCCUAAAUUAAAUUAAAAGACAAGAAAACCCUAUCGAGCUUUAAAAAAAUUGAUUGGUUUAAAUUACUUCUAUUAAUAGAAAGGUGUAACUAUUAAAUAUUUUGGUUGGGGCGACUGAGGAACNUAAAAAGCUUCCUUUAAAGUGCUAUAUCAACAUACGGGUAUUGAUCCAUAGUUAGUGAUUAAAGGAAUUAGUUACCGUAGGGAUAACAGCAUUAUCCUUUUUGAGAGUUCUAAUCGAANAAAGGGUUUGUGACCUCGAUGUUGGACCAGAAUGUCCUAAAGAUGCNNAAGUCUUUAAGGGUUGGUCUGUUCGACCAUUAAAAUUCUA
RNAcentral lists this ribosomal RNA (468 nucleotides) under Punctoterebra solangeae. RNAcentral describes it as "partial 16S ribosomal RNA". It matches the Rfam family "Bacterial large subunit ribosomal RNA", at positions 1922 to 2598 of the family's 2925-position model. The record is from RNAcentral. Lineage: Eukaryota; Metazoa; Mollusca; Gastropoda; Neogastropoda; Terebridae.